Molecule: transfer RNA, 65 nt
Filed under: Pandalus hypsinotus
Lineage: Eukaryota; Metazoa; Arthropoda; Malacostraca; Decapoda; Pandalidae
Description: tRNA-Asp
Source: RNAcentral
UUAAAAUUAGUUAAAAAAUAACGUAAGCUUGUCAAGCUUGAAUUAUCAAUAUUUGAUAUUUUAAA